RNAcentral lists this ribosomal RNA (390 nucleotides) under Triticum aestivum (bread wheat). RNAcentral's name for it is "partial small subunit ribosomal RNA". The record is from RNAcentral. Lineage: Eukaryota; Viridiplantae; Streptophyta; Magnoliopsida; Poales; Poaceae.
AUGUUUAGAGCUGCAUGGUGUAAACCUUAUCAGGGGAUUACCGACCCCCUUAUCUCUGAAACCCUAGCAAUCCGGGAUGGUGUCAUAUUUGCCAAGCUUAGGGGCUAUGAGAAAGUCGUGAUAGAAUCCGACUGCCUAGAGGUCGUUAAUCUCUGGAACUCGCGUCAUGAUGACAGGACUAUUGUGGCGCCUAUCCUAGCCGAAAUUUUGGAGCACUCUACUAGUUUUAAGUCUUUCUGUAUUCAAUAUACUUCGAGAAUAGCCAACUACCCUGCUCACCUUUGUGCUAGACAUGCAAGCACAAUGGAUGUAACAGAAUGUUGGUUUGACUCUGCCCCUGGCAUCCUUGUAACUAGCCUCCUUGCAGAAUGGGCUUCGAUUGUUGAAUAA